GCCGGUGGGAUGGGAGACAGGGAACCAGAGCUGGAAUUGCGCAUGAUGAAACAGCAGUACUGAUCAUAAUCGCGGAACCCAGCGCUGACUCAGCACUUGCUGUCUACACCUAGUCG
Molecule: long non-coding RNA, 116 nt
Filed under: Capra hircus (goat)
Lineage: Eukaryota; Metazoa; Chordata; Mammalia; Artiodactyla; Bovidae
Description: lncRNA (ENSCHIG00010017076.1)
Source: RNAcentral